CCUACGGGAGGCAGCAGUGAGGAAUAUUGGUCAAUGGGCGAAAGCCUGAUGGAGCAACGCCGCGUGCAGGAUGAAGGCCUUCGGGUUGUAAACUGCUUUUAUAAGCGAGAAAUAUGAUGGUAACUUAUGAAUAAGGAUCGGCUAACUACGUGCCAGCAGCCGCGGUCAUACGUAGGAUCCGAGCAUUAUCCGGAGUGACUGGGUGUAAAGGGUUGCGUAGGUGGCAUAAUAAGUAGCUAGUGAAAUCUGGUGGCUCAACCAUUCAGACUAUUAGCUAAACUGUUAAGCUCGAGACCGUUAGGGGUAACUGGAAUUUGUAGUGUAGGAGUGAAAUCCGUAGAUAUUAGAAGGAACACCAAUAGCGUAGGCAGGUUGCUGGGACGGUUCUGACACUAAGGCACGAAAGCGUAGGGAGCAAACGGGAUUAGAUACCCUUGUAGUC
This 442-nucleotide ribosomal RNA is filed under the name uncultured bacterium. RNAcentral's name for it is "partial 16S ribosomal RNA". It matches the Rfam family "Bacterial small subunit ribosomal RNA", at positions 338 to 795 of the family's 1533-position model. The record is from RNAcentral.